This 467-nucleotide ribosomal RNA is filed under the name uncultured bacterium. RNAcentral's name for it is "bacterial SSU rRNA". It matches the Rfam family "Bacterial small subunit ribosomal RNA", at positions 355 to 825 of the family's 1533-position model. The record is from RNAcentral.
UAGGGAAUAUUGGACAAUGGGUGAGAGCCUGAUCCAGCCAUGCCGCGUGCAGGAAGAAGGCGUUAUGCGUUGUAAACUGCUUUUUGCCAGGGGAUAAAAAGACCGUGCGCGGUUAAUUGAAGGUACCUGGUGAAUAAGCCACGGCUAACUACGUGCCAGCAGCCGCGGUAAUACGUAGGUGGCAAGCGUUGUCCGGAUUUAUUGGGUUUAAAGGGUGCGUAGGUGGCCCUGUAAGUCAGUGGUGAAAUAUCUCAGCUUAACUGAGAGGGUGCCAUUGAUACUGGAUAGCUUGAGUACAGAUGAGGUAGGCGGAAUUGACGGUGUAGCGGUGAAAUGCAUAGAUAUCGUCAAGAACACCGAUAGCGAAGGCAGCUUACCAAGCUGUAACUGACACUGAGGCACGAAAGCGUGGGGAGCAAACAGGAUUAGAUACCCCCGUAGUCCCUGAGCGGGCUGGCAAGGCGCAU